AAGUAAUCCAAACCAGAAUAAAACUUGUUAGUCACUUAUAGGUAAUAAAAAUAUAGAUGUUAUAACUUUAUCAAGAUCAAUGUCAAUAAGACAACAGACAACAAUAUAAUCGCAUAUUCCUAAUCCGUAAUGACCACAACAUCUAUCAAUGAAUUAGUGCAUUCAGUCUUGAGCAAAGGGCUUAAAAAUCUAGCACUCAAUAUUUUGCAAGAAAUCAAAAUGUCAUGAGCCAUUAUCUCUACCACAGCUAGUAUGCUGUCAUUCAUCUGAUGUAAUAGACAACUUAACACAAAGACUUUGUUGCUUGUUUUUCACCUUUUUCCUUUAAAAGAAUACUCCCACUGUUCCAUUUUAUAUGACGUUCU
Molecule: long non-coding RNA, 365 nt
Organism: Lycium ferocissimum
Lineage: Eukaryota; Viridiplantae; Streptophyta; Magnoliopsida; Solanales; Solanaceae
Exons: 2
Source: RefSeq, a predicted model, not a curated record